Molecule: ribosomal RNA, 466 nt
Filed under: uncultured bacterium
Lineage: Bacteria
Description: partial 16S ribosomal RNA
Rfam family: Bacterial small subunit ribosomal RNA
Source: RNAcentral
GAUGAACGCUGGCGGCGUGCUUAACACAUGCAAGUCGAACGAUGAAGCCCAGCUUGCUGGGUGGAUUAGUGGCGAACGGGUGAGUAACACGUGAGUAACCUGCCCUUAACUCUGGGAUAAGCCUGGGAAACUGGGUCUAAUACCGGAUAGGAGCGUCCAACGCAUGGGGGGUGUUGGAAAGAUUUAUCGGUUUUGGAUGGACUCGCGGCCUAUCAGCUGGUUGGUGAGGGAAUGGCUCACCAAGGCGACGACGGGUAGCCGGCCUGAGAGGGUGACCGGCCACCCUGGGACUGCGACACGGCCCAGACUCCUACGGGAGGCAGCAGUGGGGAAUAUUGCACAAUGGGCGCAAGCCUGAUGCAGCGACGCCGCGUGAGGGAUGACGGCCUUCGGGUUGUAAACCUCUUUCAGUAGGGAAGAAGCGAAAGUGACGGUACCUGCAGAAGAAGCACCGGCUAACUACGUG